Long non-coding RNA from Musa acuminata AAA Group (dessert banana), 956 nucleotides. RefSeq lists it as uncharacterized. NCBI's taxonomy places the organism in Eukaryota, Viridiplantae, Streptophyta, Magnoliopsida, Zingiberales, Musaceae. The transcript has 2 exons. The record is from RefSeq and is a predicted model, not a curated record.
CCCGGCAGUGGAAAAGAAAACCACGAGACAGAAGCCAGGAAAGAACGAACUUUCUUUCUUCGUAGCAGGCGACAGCAGAAAUCGAAGGGGCUUUGGGUCGCCUUUGAUAGACGAUCCCGUUAAUAAGCGAGAGAGCGGUGAAAGGUGGGCAGCGAUCCGACGAGGCGCCUCCACUCUCUCGUAGAAUCGUCUUUCGGUUCCCCCAAGAAAGAUGUCGAUCUUUUCGAACUCCCACUCUCCUGAAAGGAGACGGAAUCAAUCUCGUCCCUUGCAGAUUUGUACAAUUCAAGCCUCUUUGCACACUGCAUCCUGCGUUCCAUCAAGGCUGGAUUCUCAUCCAAGAUAGAUGCGAGCUGCUUUCCCUGUACGGCAAACUAGCAUUACAAUCGUAUCAUAAUAAAAGGACGCGAAAGACAUGAUCUCAAGUUAUCAGUUGCAGAAACAAGCCAACCUCCUUUUUCCCCACUUGCGUAUAGAAAUGAUUGAGCAGAGAUCGCUUGGCUUCUCGAACUUGACAGUAGACCACAGCUUUUGGUAUAGUGUUUCUGAGUGUGUCUGAUACCAUGCUAAUGUACGCGGAUACAUUUGAUCCUAUCCUCCUGAAAUGUCCCUCGCCAUAUCGAUCAAUUGUAGGACCAGCAGGAUUACUGUCAUCAGGUUUUUUGCCAGUAGGAUUACUACCAGCAGGGUUAUUGCCCCUUUCCACCUCUUGCGGGAGCUUGCGGAAGAAUUCCACUGUCAAGUAUGAGGCCUCCAUGUCAACAAGUCGAAGUGCAGUCUUUCGACUGUCUUCGCGGAAUCUUUCCAGGGCUUCAUAUGCGGCAGCGGCUAACUCUGUUUGCAGAGUGGGGAACCUUCUCAAUUCCUGUCAGUUUGAAUAGACCGGCGACUGAUUUGCUAUUUCAUGGGAACAAAUAGUGCUUCAUAUGAUGACAAAUGCAUAAAUUUUUACCUGA